AGCAGCCGCGGUAAUUCCAGCUCCAAUAGCGUAUAUUAAAGUUGUUGCAGUUAAAAAGCUCGUAGUUGAAUUUCGGGGUCAGUAGGUUGGUCGUGCCACCGGUACGUACUGGUCUCACUGAUUCCUCCUUCCUGAUGAGCUGUAAUGCCAUUAAUUUGGUGUUGCAGGGAAUCUGGACUGUUACUUUGAAAAAAUUAGAGUGUUUAAAGCAGGCUAACGCUUGAAUACAUUAGCAUGGAAUAAUGAAAUAGGACGUUCGAUCCUAUUUUGUUGGUUUCUAGGAUUGACGUAAUGAUUAAUAGGGAUAGUUGGGGGCAUUAGUAUUCAAUUGUCAGAGGUGAAAUUCUUGGAUUUAUUGAAGACUAACUACUGCGAAAGCAUUUGCCAAGGAUGUUUUCAUUAAUCAAGAACGAAAGUUAGGGGAUCGAAGACGAUCAGAUACCGUCGUAGUCUUAACCAUAAACUAUGCCGACUAGGGAUCGGAUGAUGUAUAC
This 494-nucleotide ribosomal RNA is filed under the name uncultured Glomus. Its description in RNAcentral is "SSU rRNA". It matches the Rfam family "Eukaryotic small subunit ribosomal RNA", at positions 569 to 1067 of the family's 1831-position model. Lineage: Eukaryota; Fungi; Glomeromycota; Glomeromycetes; Glomerales; Glomeraceae. The record is from RNAcentral.